GACGAACGCUGGCGGCGUGCUUAACACAUGCAAGUCGAGCGGUAAGGCUCCUUCGGGAGUACACGAGCGGCGAACGGGUGAGUAACACGUGAGUAACCUGCCCUUCUCAUCGGAAUAAGCGUUGGAAACGACGUCUAAUGCCGCAUACGACUUCGGAAGGCAUCUUCUGAAGUGGAAAGCUCCGGCGGAGAAGGAUGGACUCGCGGCCUAUCAGCUUGUUGGUGAGGUAACGGCUCACCAAGGCGACGACGGGUAGCCGGCCUGAGAGGGUGACCGGCCACACUGGGACUGAGACACGGCCCAGACUCCUACGGGAGGCAGCAGUGGGGAAUAUUGGACAAUGGGCGCAAGCCUGAUCCAGCAACGCCGCGUGAGGGUUGACGGCCUUCGGGUUGUAAACCUCUUUCAGCAGGGACGAAGCGCAAGUGACGGUACCUGCAGAAGAAGGACCGGCCAACUACGUGCCAGCCGCCGCCGUAA
RNAcentral lists this ribosomal RNA (480 nucleotides) under uncultured bacterium. RNAcentral's name for it is "partial 16S ribosomal RNA". It matches the Rfam family "Bacterial small subunit ribosomal RNA", at positions 28 to 523 of the family's 1533-position model. The record is from RNAcentral.